AUUGAACGCUGGCGGCAGGCCUAACACAUGCAAGUCGAGCGGAUGCAGGGAGCUUGCUCCUGGAUUCAUCGGCGGACGGGUGAGUAAUGCCUAGGAAUCUGCCUUGUAGUGGGGGAUAACGUCCUGAAACGGGCGCUAAUACCGCAUCCGUCCUGUGGUAGAAAUUGGGGGAUCUUCGGACCUCUCGCUAUCAGAUGAGCCUAGGUCGGAUUAGCUAGUUGGUGGGGUAAAGGCCUACCAAGGCGACGAUCCGUAACUGGUCUGAGAGCAUGAUCCGACAGCCUGGAAGUGAGGAACGGUACAGACUCCUGCAGGAGGCAGCAGUGGAGAAUAUUAGACGAUGGACGAGAGCGUAAUACUGCAAUGCCGCGUGUGUGAUGAAGGUCUUCGGAUUGUAGAGCACUUUAGGUUGGGAGGAAGGAAAGUAAGUUAAUACCGUACUGUAUUGACGUUACCAACAGAAUAAGCACCGGCUAACUUCGUG
This 484-nucleotide ribosomal RNA is filed under the name uncultured bacterium. RNAcentral describes it as "partial 16S ribosomal RNA". It matches the Rfam family "Bacterial small subunit ribosomal RNA", at positions 30 to 507 of the family's 1533-position model. The record is from RNAcentral.